Molecule: non-coding RNA, 84 nt
Organism: Bombyx mori (domestic silkworm)
Lineage: Eukaryota; Metazoa; Arthropoda; Insecta; Lepidoptera; Bombycidae
Source: Rfam
UUAACUCAAAUUUGUAUGAAGUUGGGAAGUUUGCAUACGUUUGCCGCUAGGGGCGCUGUUCCAACUGCAUACAAAUUUGAGUUA